This 1261-nucleotide long non-coding RNA is filed under the name Oryctolagus cuniculus (rabbit). Its description in RNAcentral is "lncRNA (ENSOCUG00000029974.1)". Lineage: Eukaryota; Metazoa; Chordata; Mammalia; Lagomorpha; Leporidae. The record is from RNAcentral.
AUGUGGCAACUUCCUGGGUUAAGACAGAUGGCAGCUGUGGCUCCAGACCUCAGAAGCAGCAGGUCCUGUGGGGUGGAUAAGUCCAGCAAUCUUGUUCACUCCCAAGAUUUCCAGCCUCAAACUGACUCUCCAGAGGCAUCUUGCAGUGAUUUGGUAAGGAUCAAAUUCCCUUCAUUAAGUCUCUUCCUGUCUAAAGUACUGUUUCAGAAAAACCUUAUCUAUGGAAAGAGCCCCCAAAGAUGUGGAGGGCUGAGAGACUGAAAGAAGAAGGCAAAGUCAAGAUCACAGAAAGUGUGAUUUAUGGUGGGCAUUUUUUGUUGUUGUUGUUUAAAUAUUUAUUUAUUUGAAAGGCAGAGUUACAGUGAGGCAGAGGCAGAGAGAGAGAGAUGUCUUCCAUCCGCUGGUUCAUUCCCCAGAUGGCUGCAACAGCCGGAGGUGUGCCAAUCCAAAUCCAGGAUCCAGGAUGUUCUUCCAGGUCCCCCACGUGGGUGCAGGGGCCCAAGGACUUAGGCCACCUUAUACUGCUUUCCCAGGCUAUAGCAGAGAGUUGGACCAGAAGUGGAGCAGCCAGGACUUGAACCAGUGCCCAUAUGGGAUGCUGGCACUGCAGCUGGCGGCUUUACCUGCUGCGCCACCGCGCUGGCCCACUAUGGUGGGCAUUUACAGACAGAAGUGUGGUUUUGGGCACUUGUGACCUGCUGUGAGGCAAGACAGGAAAGGUUCGUAGGCAGAGGCGGCCUCUGGCUUAUCAGAGUGUACCUGGAUUUUCUCUAGGGAAACAUUAACAUUCCAGGCAUUAGAUAAAGGUCAUUGCAGAGAGUGGUCCUGGCCAGGGGACCCCAGUAGGUCAUGUUAAUGGCCUUGCUUUCCCUUUCCUAGGGCUUGAGAUGACCAUAAUGGUUGCCUGAAGGGCAAGAUGUUGGUUAUGCCCAACAAGCUGUAGUCGUGUCAAGCUGAUUGCCUACACGGCCACAGAUUUCUGCACCGAAGCGUCGCUGACAUACUCGGUAUUGGAAGUGAUUGCAGGAAUUGAGGAGUGGGAGUGACCUGGCUAGGAUUGGGCCUUGAUGCCAGUGCAAUGUGGGACAUUAUGAACCUAGACAUGCAGUGGCAAGGAUUACCUAAGUUAUUACCUGGAAUGAAAGGUUUACUAAAGGCCAGUCUUCAGCGCUUGCCACAGUAGGUACUUAGGACAGAACGAGAAAUACAAGAAUUGUAUUGUAUUGUAUUGGAAUUUUCUGACUGUACUGAAGAGAUUAAA